AUUUUUCACAUCUCCAUUAUCAUUUCAUUAUUCAUUUCUGUCUUACAUAAUCUGCAGCUUAGUCAAUUCUUUUGGUUUUAAGGUGGGAAGACCUGCCUGUGUCUGUAUCCCUGGGGCUCCUCUAAACCUGCCGGUUUGUGAGAUGAUUUCAUGGUUUCUUUUACAUGUAUCAAAUGUCUACCCUACAAAGAACUGGAUGGAGUUAACAGCUGAGCAAAGAUUAGAGAGGAACCUACUUUCAUUUGGGAAAAACAGGACCAUACCAUGUGUACAAGACAGAAAUUUCUACAGAUGCUUUAUGAAAGAAAAAAUAUCUUACCAAAGUUACUACUGCACAUUCAGCAGUUAGCAGUGCGGCACUAAAAAGAGUACGAACAAAUCUGUAAAUGAAUUCGUGUUCAGGAUCAUGCUCGAAGUAUUCCUCUGGAAUCUUUUCUCGCUGAAAGGAGAAAAAAUGCAAUUUAAGUAUCCAUGGAAGAAAAAUACUUAAAAGUACCCUUAAGAUAGCAGUCUUCACACUUGGGCCCACGUGCCCCUUAAAAUAAUUUUGAUUGGGUGACAUGUCUUGUAGUCUUUUAAAUAUAAACAAUGGGAUCCUAAAAUACCACAGUGAUCCAGUAUUCACCACCAUUCAUUAAAGAAAAAUACAGGCACAACCGCAGAGAAUUUAUGUAUUUCCACGUUCCUCCCCACAGAAUUCUAACCAAAUGUAAACUAUUGGGUUGGCCAAAAAGUUCAUUUGGUUUUAAGUACAAAUAAAAGACACAGUUUUCAUUUUCACCAAGCAUUUUAUUGAACAAUAUAUUCACUAACCAAACAAACUUUUUGGCCAACCCAAUAUUUUUAGGCUCAGAAGUCUUGCUGAUCACCAUAUGUCAUACUUUUCUGUCAUCAACUUUGAAAACACAUUCCCAGUGUCCUGUAACCAUAGGGCUCUAAGAAUGCGCUGUCCUGUACAGCAGUCGCCAGCCACGUGUGGCUACAGAGCACCCGAAGAAGUGAAUUUUAAAACUUUGUCAUUUUAAUUCGUUUAAAAUUUAAACAGUUUUCUAAUUUUCUUCUUACAGGCCUUAUCAUAUUAGGUUUAUUUACAAAUAUUUAUAUUGUUUGAUGCUAGGGAAAAUCAUCCUUUAAAAAGAUACAUUUUCUGUUACUUGGGUAUGUUUACUUACCUGCUCACUAUUCAUACAAAGUGCAACUCGGUUCAUAUCCAUCAACCCCUUAGACAACACGCCUUCGGGAAAAUGACUAGACACAACAUGGCGUGGGGAAGAAGACUUAAAGGAAGAUGAAUUUGACUUCGAGCUGGAGGAAGUAAUUUUCUUCUAGUAAUUAAUUUCAAAGCAAAUCAGCGUGAAAUAAACACAACUGUAUAAGAGAAAAAUACAACUUCAAUAAAACUGACACUUACUGUGAA
Balaenoptera acutorostrata (minke whale) is the source of this 1417-nucleotide long non-coding RNA. RefSeq lists it as uncharacterized. The record is from RefSeq and is a predicted model, not a curated record. The transcript is spliced from 2 exons. NCBI's taxonomy places the organism in Eukaryota, Metazoa, Chordata, Mammalia, Artiodactyla, Balaenopteridae.